This 775-nucleotide ribosomal RNA is filed under the name uncultured Neocallimastigales. Its description in RNAcentral is "partial large subunit ribosomal RNA". It matches the Rfam family "Eukaryotic large subunit ribosomal RNA", at positions 22 to 616 of the family's 3401-position model. Lineage: Eukaryota; Fungi; Neocallimastigomycota; Neocallimastigomycetes; Neocallimastigales. The record is from RNAcentral.
GUACACGCUGUGACUAGCAUAUCAAUAAGCGGAGGAAAAGAAACUAACAAGGAUUCCCUUAGUAACGGCGAGUGAAGCGGGAAGAGCUCAAAUUUGAAAUCUUAAAGGGUUUCCCUUUACGAAUUGUAGUUUAAAGAAGUGUUUUCUGUUAGAGUUUCGGUAAAAGUUCUUUGGAAUAGGACAUCAUAGAGGGUGAGAAUCCCGUAUUUGACCAUUACUUUUCAGCUUUGUGAUACACUUUCAAAGAGUCGGACUGUUUGGGAAUGCAGUCCAAAAUGGGUGGUAAAUUUCAUCUAAAGCUAAAUAUUGGCGAGAGACCGAUAGCGAACAAGUACCGUGAGGGAAAGAUGAAAAGAACUUUGAAAAGAGAGUUAAACAGUACGUGAAAUUGUCAAAAGGGAAGCGUUUGACACCAGUGUUGUUUUUCUGAAAAUCAAUUAAAGAACUGUUUAUGCUAAGCUGUUUAGACUUUAUCAGCUAACUGUUUAGUUUUGAGCUUUUCUUUAACGCACUUUUCAGUUAACAAGUCAACAUCAAUUUCUUUUGCUGUAAAAAAGCUUGAGGAAGGAGGCUUGAGAUUCGUCUUAAGUGUUUAUAGCCUCUUGCCUAUGCAGUCGGAGAGAUUGAGGUCUGCAGCGUAGAUCCUUCGGGGCUAAAUGCAUUUGUGCUAAGUUAUAGCAUUUUAUAGACAACUUGUUGACUAUAAUUAGUCUUGUAGCUUACUCGCUUAUGCUAUUUUACCUACGCUUAGGAUGUUGAGCGCAUGUCUCUCUCU